This 253-nucleotide unclassified non-coding RNA is filed under the name uncultured Caryophanales bacterium. Its description in RNAcentral is "uncultured Bacillales bacterium contains 16S-23S intergenic spacer region". It matches the Rfam family "Bacterial small subunit ribosomal RNA", at positions 524 to 776 of the family's 1533-position model. The record is from RNAcentral. Lineage: Bacteria; Bacillati; Bacillota; Bacilli; Caryophanales.
UACGUAGGGGACAAGUGUUGUCCGGAAUUAUUGGGCGUAAAGGGCGCGCAGGCGGUUUCCUAAGUCUGAUGUGAAAGCCCACGGCUCAACCGUGGAUGGUCAUUGGAAACUGGGGAACUUGAGUACAGGAGAGGAGAGUGGAAUUCCACGUGUAGCGGUGAAAUGCGUAGAUAUGUGGGGGAACACCAGUGGCGAAGGCGGCUCUUUGGCCUAUAACUGACGCUGAGGCGCGAAAGCGUGGGGAGCAAACAGG